GCGGUACUUGGACCGUAGUAAGGUAGCAUAAUCAAUUGGCUUUUAAAUGGAGUCUGGGAUGAACGGGAUAUUGGGGUUAAGCUAUCUUACUAAGAUUUUAUUGAAAUUACUUUAAAAGUGAAAAAGCUUUUAUUUGACAAAAGACGAGAAGACCCUAGGAGUUUUAUUUUUGUUGGGGCGACAUUCUAAAAAUAACUUAUUAUUAAAAAUUAUCAACUUUUAGUUUUAACUUAUAAGCUACCCUAGGGAUAACAGCAUAAUUCUUUUGAGUUUGUGACCUCGAUGUUGGACUAGGAAAAAUAAUUACUAGCAGUAAUUGUUUAUUGUUCUGUUCGAACAAAUACUCCU
RNAcentral lists this ribosomal RNA (348 nucleotides) under Runcina ornata. RNAcentral's name for it is "partial large subunit ribosomal RNA". It matches the Rfam family "Bacterial large subunit ribosomal RNA", at positions 1933 to 2596 of the family's 2925-position model. Lineage: Eukaryota; Metazoa; Mollusca; Gastropoda; Runcinacea; Runcinidae. The record is from RNAcentral.